Entelurus aequoreus (snake pipefish) is the source of this 652-nucleotide long non-coding RNA. RefSeq lists it as uncharacterized. The record is from RefSeq and is a predicted model, not a curated record. The transcript has 3 exons. Lineage: Eukaryota; Metazoa; Chordata; Actinopteri; Syngnathiformes; Syngnathidae.
AUACAUUCGUACACAACGUUAGCACGUUAGCUUCCGCCGACUCACCGAGUGAUUAACGCCCCACAUAAAGACACUUUGGACAGGGUCGCUGGCUCGAAGCACUUUGAGCUUCUGCUGAACGAAGUGUUUCUUUUUCGUCUUAGUCUUAGGCGCCAGGACUACCAUAGGACUGGAGGUGGCCGCCGAGUUACCGACCGAAGCCAUGACCACCAACAGGCGGGCUUUCUCUCCGUCAGAGUCGUGAGAGCUGCUUACACUUCUUCUUGAAUGGAGGCUAACUGUUGCUCAGCCAGCCGGAGCUAAUCUUCCCAAUACUACCAAAAGUUACCCUUUGAGCUCGGAAUGUGUUACAAUAACAGAGCCGUUCUGAAGCGCUGUAUGGACGGCCCAUUCGUCAACUUGAACCGUGCUUGACAAGACCGUGGAAAUAAUAAUGGUUGACACGGCCUAUCACCGCCCCCUCCAGCCCAGCGAUGUUAUUAUCAACCACGUGGUGACUUUUUGACUGAGAGGAGCAGCGACCAAAGAAAACCUUCCAAGUCGGGCCUUCAUUCCAUAAUGCUUGGACAAAUGGGAUAUUCCCUGCGGUUACCUUGGAAACAGGCAUUUGAAAAUAGCAGAAACUCAUCUCUCACUCCCGUCGCACGGUAAA